CCUUACAGCCAUACUACCCUGAUUGUGUCCAAUCUGGGCUAAUCUCAGAAGCUAAGCAGAGUCAGGACUGGUUAGUACUUGGAUGGGAGACCUCCUAGGAAUAUUGGGUGGUAUAGGCU
Molecule: ribosomal RNA, 119 nt
Filed under: Notamacropus eugenii (tammar wallaby)
Lineage: Eukaryota; Metazoa; Chordata; Mammalia; Diprotodontia; Macropodidae
Source: RNAcentral